RNAcentral lists this ribosomal RNA (414 nucleotides) under uncultured microorganism. Its description in RNAcentral is "bacterial SSU rRNA". It matches the Rfam family "Archaeal small subunit ribosomal RNA", at positions 459 to 872 of the family's 1478-position model. The record is from RNAcentral.
CAGCAGCCGCGGUAAUACCGGCGGCCCGAGUGGCGGUCACUAUUAUUGGGCUUAAAGCGUCCGUAGCCGGGUUGGGAAGUCCUCCGGGAAAUCUGGCCGCUUAACGGUCAGAAUGCCGGAGGAUACUCCCAGCCUAGGGAGCGGGAGAGGCCGAGGGUAUUCCCGGAGUAGGGGGGAAAUCCUAUAAUCCCGGGAGGACCACCGGUGGCGGAGGCGCUCGGCUGGAACGCGUCCGACGGUGAGGGACGAAGGCCAGGGGAGCAAACCGGAUUAGAUACCCGGGUAGUCCUGGCUGUAAACGAUGCGGACUUUGUGUCGGACAAGCUAUGAGCUUGUCCGGUGCCGGAGGGAAACCGUUAAGUCCGCCGCCUGGGGAGUACGGCCGCAAGGCUGAAACUUAAAGGAAUUGGCGGG